This 86-nucleotide transfer RNA is filed under the name Caulobacter sp. RNAcentral's name for it is "tRNA-Leu". It matches the Rfam family "tRNA". From Rfam's summary of the family: Transfer RNA (tRNA) molecules are approximately 80 nucleotides in length. Their secondary structure includes four short double-helical elements and three loops (D, anti-codon, and T loops). RNAcentral also lists the same sequence under 5 other names. Lineage: Bacteria; Pseudomonadati; Pseudomonadota; Alphaproteobacteria; Caulobacterales; Caulobacteraceae. The record is from RNAcentral.
GCCCCAGUGGCGAAAUGGUAGACGCGGCAGACUCAAAAUCUGCUUUCUGCAAGGAAGUGCUGGUUCGAGUCCGGCCUGGGGCACCA